This 207-nucleotide ribosomal RNA is filed under the name Triticum aestivum (bread wheat). Its description in RNAcentral is "partial small subunit ribosomal RNA". The record is from RNAcentral. Lineage: Eukaryota; Viridiplantae; Streptophyta; Magnoliopsida; Poales; Poaceae.
AUGCAUGUGAUGUGGCAAAACACCGGCAAUACCUUGCCGGUGAUGGUCAAUGACCGGCAGACAGGCAGCAAAAAGGUUCUGGUGCUGCACACCAACAAGAACUUCGACCAGCAGAGGACCAACUGGGUGAUGCACCAGUACCACCUCGGGGACCUAGAGCAAGAGAAGGAGCGGGAGCUGGUCGAGCAAGUUUCAACUGGGAUGUAG